AAAUUGAAGAGUUUGAUCAUGGCUCAGAUUGAACGCUGGCGGCAGGCCUAACACAUGCAAGUCGAACGGUAACAGGAARCAGCUUGCUGYUUYGCUGACGAGUGGCGGACGGGUGAGUAAUGUCUGGGAAACUGCCYGAUGGAGGGGGAUAACUACUGGAAACGGUAGCUAAUACCGCAUAACGUCGCAAGACCAAAGAGGGGGACCUUAGGGCCUCUUGCCAUCGGAUGUGCCCAGAUGGGAUUAGCUAGUAGGUGGGGUAAAGGCUCACCUAGGCGACGAUCCCUAGCUGGUCUGAGAGGAUGACCAGCCACACUGGAACUGAGACACGGUCCAGACUCCUACGGGAGGCAGCAGUGGGGAAUAUUGCACAAUGGGCGCAAGCCUGAUGCAGCCAUGCCGCGUGUAUGAAGAAGGCCUUCGGGUUGUAAAGUACUUUCAGCGGGGAGGAAGGGAGUAAAGUUAAUACCUUUGCUCAUUGACGUUACCCGCAGAAGAAGCACCGGCUAACUCCGUGCCAGCAGCCGCGGUAAUACGGAGGGUGCAAGCGUUAAUCGGAAUUACUGGGCGUAAAGCGCACGCAGGCGGUUUGUUAAGUCAGAUGUGAAAUCCCCGGGCUCAACCUGGGAACUGCAUCUGAUACUGGCAAGCUUGAGUCUCGUAGAGGGGGGUAGAAUUCCAGGUGUAGCGGUGAAAUGCGUAGAGAUCUGGAGGAAUACCGGUGGCGAAGGCGGCCCCCUGGACGAAGACUGACGCUCAGGUGCGAAAGCGUGGGGAGCAAACAGGAUUAGAUACCCUGGUAGUCCACGCCGUAAACGAUGUCGACUUGGAGGUUGUGCCCUUGAGGCGUGGCUUCCGGAGCUAACGCGUUAAGUCGACCGCCUGGGGAGUACGGCCGCAAGGUUAAAACUCAAAUGAAUUGACGGGGGCCCGCACAAGCGGUGGAGCAUGUGGUUUAAUUCGAUGCAACGCGAAGAACCUUACCUGGUCUUGACAUCCACGGAAGUUUUCAGAGAUGAGAAUGUGCCUUCGGGAACCGUGAGACAGGUGCUGCAUGGCUGUCGUCAGCUCGUGUUGUGAAAUGUUGGGUUAAGUCCCGCAACGAGCGCAACCCUUAUCCUUUGUUGCCAGCGGUCCGGCCGGGAACUCAAAGGAGACUGCCAGUGAUAAACUGGAGGAAGGUGGGGAUGACGUCAAGUCAUCAUGGCCCUUACGACCAGGGCUACACACGUGCUACAAUGGCGCAUACAAAGAGAAGCGACCUCGCGAGAGCAAGCGGACCUCAUAAAGUGCGUCGUAGUCCGGAUUGGAGUCUGCAACUCGACUCCAUGAAGUCGGAAUCGCUAGUAAUCGUGGAUCAGAAUGCCACGGUGAAUACGUUCCCGGGCCUUGUACACACCGCCCGUCACACCAUGGGAGUGGGUUGCAAAAGAAGUAGGUAGCUUAACCUUCGGGAGGGCGCUUACCACUUUGUGAUUCAUGACUGGGGUGAAGUCGUAACAAGGUAACCGUAGGGGAACCUGCGGUUGGAUCACCUCCUUACCUUAAAGAAGC
Molecule: ribosomal RNA, 1554 nt
Filed under: Escherichia coli NC101
Lineage: Bacteria; Pseudomonadati; Pseudomonadota; Gammaproteobacteria; Enterobacterales; Enterobacteriaceae
Description: bacterial SSU rRNA
Source: RNAcentral